UACAGAGGGGGCAAGCGUUGUUCGGAAUUACUGGGCGUAAAGGGCUCGUAGGCGGCCAACUAAGUCACACGUGAAAUCCCCAGGCUUAACCUGGGAACUGCGUGUGAUACUGGAUGGCUUGAAUCCGGGAGAGGGAUGCAGAAUUCCAGGUGUAGCGGUGAAAUGCGUAGAUAUCUGGAGGAAUACCGGUGGCGAAGGCGGCAUCCUGGACCGGCAUUGACGCUGAUGAGCGAAAGCUAGGGGAGCAAACGGG
This 253-nucleotide ribosomal RNA is filed under the name uncultured bacterium. RNAcentral's name for it is "partial 16S ribosomal RNA". It matches the Rfam family "Bacterial small subunit ribosomal RNA", at positions 524 to 776 of the family's 1533-position model. The record is from RNAcentral.